UUUUUUCUUUUUCUUUUCUUAGCCGUUGGAUCUUAGCUGUAGGGCCUAGAUUAGAUCACUAGUUACCUCUUCGGUCUAUAUGAGAAAACCAGCGGUUUUUAUUCCCACUUAUGAUUUAGCCAGUAGUUUUUGCUAGCCUUAGGCCGUUUGCUCCUAGCCAUGCAUCAAACACCCCUCCCAGCCAACAGUAGCUUGCCACGUGUACCCCAUUAGUUAGCUAGGUUAGUUUUACUUUUUCCUGCCUGUUUGCAAAAACAGAAACUUUUUGUUUUGUUUUAGCCACAACUUUUUAUCUAGAAGUC
RNAcentral lists this long non-coding RNA (302 nucleotides) under Hordeum vulgare. Its description in RNAcentral is "long non-coding RNA (HVUL_LNC013105)". The record is from RNAcentral. Lineage: Eukaryota; Viridiplantae; Streptophyta; Magnoliopsida; Poales; Poaceae.